UUGAACGCUGGCGGCAUGCUUUACACAUGCAAGUCGAACGGCAGCGCGGGCUUCGGCCUGGCGGCGAGUGGCGAACGGGUGAGUAAUGCAUCGGAACGUGCCCAGUAGUGGGGGAUAGCCCGGCGAAAGCCGGAUUAAUACCGCAUACGACCUGAGGGUGAAAGCGGGGGACCGAAAGGCCUCGCGCUAUUGGAGCGGCCGAUGUCGGAUUAGCUAGUUGGUGGGGUAAAGGCUUACCAAGGCGACGAUCCGUAGCUGGUCUGAGAGGACGACCAGCCACACUGGGACUGAGACACGGCCCAGACUCCUACGGGAGGCAGCAGUGGGGAAUUUUGGACAAUGGGGGCAACCCUGAUCCAGCCAUGCCGCGUGCGGGAAGGAGGCCUUCGGGUUGUAAACCGCUUUUGUUCGGGAAGAAAUCCUCUGGGCUAAUACCCCGGGGGGAUGACGGUACCGGAAGAAUAAGCACCGGCUAACUACGUG
Molecule: ribosomal RNA, 483 nt
Filed under: uncultured bacterium
Lineage: Bacteria
Description: partial 16S ribosomal RNA
Rfam family: Bacterial small subunit ribosomal RNA
Source: RNAcentral